Molecule: ribosomal RNA, 406 nt
Filed under: uncultured bacterium
Lineage: Bacteria
Description: partial 16S ribosomal RNA
Rfam family: Bacterial small subunit ribosomal RNA
Source: RNAcentral
AUUGAACGCUGGCGGCAGGCCUAACACAUGCAAGUCGAACGAGUGGCGGACGGGUGAGUAAUGUCUGGGAAACUGCCUGAUGGAGGGGGAUAACUACUGGAAACGGUAGCUAAUACCGCAUACCCUCAGAUGUGCCCAGAUGGGAUUAGCUAGUUGGUGUGGUAACGGCGCACCAAGGCGACGAUCCCUAGCUGGUCUGAGAGGAUGAAAAGCAACACUGGAAUUGAGACACGGUCCAGUCUCCUACGGGUGGCAGCAGUGGGGAAGAUUGCCCAAUGGGCGAAAGCCUGAUGCAGCCAUGUCGCGUGUAUGAAGAAGGCCUUCGGGUUGUAAAGUACUUUCAGCGGGUAGGCGUUACCCGCAGAAGAAGCACCGGCUAACUUCGUGCCAGCAGGCGCGGUAAUAC